This 255-nucleotide ribosomal RNA is filed under the name uncultured bacterium. RNAcentral's name for it is "partial 16S ribosomal RNA". It matches the Rfam family "Bacterial small subunit ribosomal RNA", at positions 524 to 777 of the family's 1533-position model. The record is from RNAcentral.
UACAGAGGUCUCAAGCGUUGUUCGGAUUCAUUGGGCGUAAAGGGUGCGUAGGUGGCGCUGUAAGUCGGGUGUGAAAUUUCGGAGCUUAACUCCGAAACUGCAUUCGAUACUGCGGUGCUUGAGGACUGGAGAGGAGACUGGAAUUCAUGGUGUAGCAGUGAAAUGCGUAGAGAUCAUGAGGAAGACCAGUGGCGAAGGCGGGUCGUCUGGACAGUUCCUGACACUGAGGCACGAAGGCCAGGGGAGCAAAACGGG